RNAcentral lists this ribosomal RNA (1002 nucleotides) under Triticum aestivum (bread wheat). Its description in RNAcentral is "partial small subunit ribosomal RNA". The record is from RNAcentral. Lineage: Eukaryota; Viridiplantae; Streptophyta; Magnoliopsida; Poales; Poaceae.
AUGGCUGCCCAGAACAACAAGGAGGUGGAUGCCCUGGUGGAGAAGAUCACCGGGCUCCACGCCGCCAUCGCCAAGCUGCCGUCGCUCAGCCCUUCCCCGGCCGUCGACCUGCUCUUCACCGAGCUGGUCACGGCGUGCGUUCCCCCGAGCCCCGUGGACGUGACCAAGCUCGGCCCGGAGGCGCAGGAGAUGCGGGAGGGCCUCAUCCGCCUCUGCUCCGAGGCCGAGGGGAAGCUGGAGGCGCACUACUCCGACAUGCUCGCCGCCUUCGACAACCCUCUGGACCACCUCGGCAUGUUCCCCUACUACAGCAACUACAUCAACCUCAGCAAGCUGGAGUACGAGCUCCUGGCCCGCUACGUGCCUGGUGGCAUCGCCCCUGCCCGCGUCGCCUUCAUCGGCUCCGGCCCGCUGCCGUUCAGCUCCUUCGUCCUCGCCGCGCGCCACCUGCCCGACACCAUGUUCGACAACUACGACCUGUGCGGCGCGGCCAAUGACCGCGCCAGCAAGCUGUUCCGCGCCGACAAGGACAUGGGCGCCCGCAUGUCGUUCCACACGGCCGACGUAGCGGACCUCGCUGGCGAGCUCGCCAAGUACGACGUGGUCUUCCUGGCCGCACUUGUUGGCAUGGCGGCUGAGGACAAGGCCAAGGUGAUAGCACACCUCGGCACACACAUGGCAGACGGGGCGGCCCUCGUCGUGCGCAGCGCACACAGGGCACGCGGGUUCCUGUACCCGAUCGUCGACCCCCAGGACAUCACCCUAGGUGGGUUCAAGGUGUUGGCCGUGUGCCAUCCAGACGACGACGUGGUGAACUCCGUCAUCAUCGCACAGAAGUCCAAGGACGUGCAUGUUAGUGGACUUCGCAGCGGGCCUGCUGUGGGUGGACAGUCUGCUCGCUCCACGGUGCCGGUGGUCAGCCCGCCGUGCAGGUUCGGUGAGAUGGUGGCGGAUAUGACACAGAAGAGAGAGGAGUUUGCCAACGCCGAAGUGGCCUUUUGA